UGCAAGUCGAGCGGCAGCGCGGUCUUCGGACUGGCGGCGAGCGGCGAACGGGUGAGUAAUACAUCGGAACAUGCCCAGCUCGUGGGGGAUAACACUUCGAAAGAAGUGCUAAUACCGCAUACGUCCUGAGGGAGAAAGCGGGGGAUCGCAAGACCUCGCGCGAUUGGAGUGGCCGAUGUCAGAUUAGCUAGUUGGUGGGGUAAAGGCCUACCAAGGCAACGAUCUGUAGCUGGUCUGAGAGGAUGAUCAGCCACACUGGGACUGAGACACGGCCCAGACUCCUACGGGAGGCAGCAGUGGGGAAUUUUGGACAAUGGGGGCAACCCUGAUCCAGCCAUUCCGCGUGAGUGAAGAAGGCCUUCGGGUUGUAAAGCUCUUUCGGCAGGAACGAAACGGCGAGCUCUAACAUAGCUCGCUAAUGACGGUACCUGAAGAAGAAGCACCGGCUAACUACGUGCCAGCAGCCGCGGUAAUACGUAGGGUGCGAGCGUUAAUCGGAAUUACUGGGCGUAAAGCGUGCGCAGGCGGUUGUGUAAGACAGGUGUSAAAUCCCCGGGCUUAACCUGGGAACUGCGCUUGUGACUGCACGGCUAGAGUAUGGCAGAGGGGGGUGGAAUUCCACGUGUAGCAGUGAAAUGCGUAGAGAUGUGGAGGAACACCGAUGGCGAAGGCAGCCCCCUGGGCCAAUACUGACGCUCAUGCACGAAAGCGU
RNAcentral lists this ribosomal RNA (712 nucleotides) under uncultured bacterium. RNAcentral's name for it is "bacterial SSU rRNA". It matches the Rfam family "Bacterial small subunit ribosomal RNA", at positions 56 to 762 of the family's 1533-position model. The record is from RNAcentral.